GCCGCCACCGGCGAAGCCCCCGCGCCCUGUUACCGGAUCCUCCGGCCGCGGUGACGCGAUGGCCACCUCCGCCCCCUUCCCCCAGCGACCCCGACCCCGUACUGCAUCGGGACACCGCCAGUGGCCUCGGAUCUGAGCACUGGCCACUAGUUCUGCGGAUGCUAACGCGGGGGUUGUGCUACUCCGGCGAGCUCAUUCAUCCUCGACCACGGCGCGCCAAUGUCGCACUCCUCCCUCUCGUUCCCUCUUCCAUCCCCGAGCCCAAAUCCGACAAGCUUGUCAACCGGAGAGCCUUGCUGUCCCUACUGCUGCCACCACCCGAUGUCCACCGUGCCUACCUGUGAUGCACCUGCAGCUAGAGGAGGGCUCGGCCUGCAGCAAGAGGAGGGCACGACCUGCAGCUGCGUGUCCACAUCCGGCAGAGAAGAUAGAGGUGGCUGGGUCAUGGAUCUUGCACACGCCCCUCCGGCCAGGAGGCUGCCUAGCUGCUGAAUCUCCCUGACGCCACCAGUACGUGAUUUUGAGACAUGCGACCGUUGCAAUCCAAGGUCGCCGGCGCUGUUAGGCCGGAGUUGGGAGGCCGUGAUGAAGUUUCGGGGAAGUCCAAUGCCUCAUGUGCGGCCAGUGCGGCGUCCGCUACGCCGCCGCGACCUGCAACACUUUGGGGCGAACAUCAUCGUAACCUUCUCCCUCCGCACAAGUUUUCCGCCUCGCUCGCGAGAAGUUCAUGCGACCAGCCAUCUCUCAUCGCUAUUUUACAGCGGGAUGCCAUCCGUCGAUUUGCAGAGAAAACAGAAGUUCAGUGCAUACGUCCUUCAAUUCACCAUCUCUCACAUUGUUAGUUAAAAAAGAAGCACAAGACGGCGCUGGCAGGUGGAUGUGUUGUAUCAGAACAUGAAGCGCUAGUUGAAGCUAGUCCCAUGCGGAGCUACUAGUGCUUCUCUUUUUGUAAUUGAUUAGCUGUUGCUGUUGUCCUAGGUUUUUUUGGUCUUAAGUUAUUCACCAUCUCUCACAUUGUUAGUUAAAACAGAAGUUCAGAAGCAUAUGAUUCACUGCUC
Molecule: long non-coding RNA, 1058 nt
Organism: Triticum dicoccoides
Lineage: Eukaryota; Viridiplantae; Streptophyta; Magnoliopsida; Poales; Poaceae
Exons: 2
Source: RefSeq, a predicted model, not a curated record